UGGGCGAUUAGCUCAGUUGGGAGAGCACCUGCCUUACAAGCAGGGGGUCACUGGUUCGAACCCGGUUCGCCCAC
RNAcentral lists this transfer RNA (74 nucleotides) under Vibrio cholerae LMA3984-4. Its description in RNAcentral is "tRNA-Val". It matches the Rfam family "tRNA". From Rfam's summary of the family: Transfer RNA (tRNA) molecules are approximately 80 nucleotides in length. Their secondary structure includes four short double-helical elements and three loops (D, anti-codon, and T loops). Further hydrogen bonds mediate the characteristic L-shaped molecular structure. tRNAs have two regions of fundamental functional importance: the anti-codon, which is responsible for specific mRNA codon recognition, and the 3' end, to which the tRNAs corresponding amino acid is attached (by aminoacyl-tRNA synthetases). tRNAs cope with the degeneracy of the genetic code in two manners: having more than one tRNA (with a specific anti-codon) for a particular amino acid; and 'wobble' base-pairing, i.e. permitting non-standard base-pairing at the 3rd anti-codon position. The record is from RNAcentral. Lineage: Bacteria; Pseudomonadati; Pseudomonadota; Gammaproteobacteria; Vibrionales; Vibrionaceae.